This is an RNA transcript of Cynara cardunculus var. scolymus (artichoke), 1954 nucleotides long. It is a transcript of the gene named CBL-interacting serine/threonine-protein kinase 12-like, with no coding region annotated. The transcript is spliced from 3 exons. The record is from RefSeq and is a predicted model, not a curated record. Lineage: Eukaryota; Viridiplantae; Streptophyta; Magnoliopsida; Asterales; Asteraceae.
CAGACAUCUCACAACCAUCUUCUUCUUCUUCAAAUCAAAUUCAAAAUCAAAAUCGAAUUUUUUUCAAAAUCUAAAUCGAACCCACAAGAACAUUCAAAUGUUCAAUCGAAUCUCGAUUUCCGAUCUCAAUUUCUGAAUCUCUAACCCCUAAAAAUCCUCCUACCAUGUCAACAAAACCAUCUACCACAAGAAAAGAAGGCCAUGGCCUCCUGCUAGGAAGGUUUGAGAUCGGAAAACUUCUUGGCCAUGGUAGCUUUGCUAAAGUCUACCUUGCUCGCAACGUGAAAACCAAUGAAUCCGUCGCCAUUAAAGUCAUCGACAAAGAGAAAAUAAUGAAAGGCGGUUUAAUCGCUCACAUCAAACGCGAGAUCUCCAUCCUCCGCCGUGUCCGACAUCCAAACAUCGUACAGCUAUUUGAGGUAAUGGCAACAAAGACUAAGAUCUUUUUCGUUAUGGAAUACGUUAGAGGCGGUGAAUUGUUCAAUAAAGUUGCUAAAGGUAGAUUAAAGGAAGAAGUUGCUAGAAAGUAUUUCCAACAACUGAUUUCUGCAGUAGGGUUUUGUCAUGCUCGUGGUGUUUUUCAUAGAGAUUUAAAACCAGAGAAUAUAUUGUUAGAUGAGGAUGGUGAUCUGAAGGUGUCAGAUUUUGGUCUUAGUGCUAUCUCUGAGCAAAUCAGAGGUGAUGGUUUGUUCCAUACUUUUUGCGGAACUCCGGCAUAUGUUGCGCCGGAGGUUUUGGGGCGAAAAGGAUACGAAGCUGCAAAGGUUGAUAUUUGGUCUUGUGGAGUGAUUUUGUUUGUGUUAAUGGCUGGUUACUUACCAUUUCAUGAUCAGAAUGUAAUGGUCAUGUACAAGAAGAUUUACAAAGGGGAAUUCAGGUGUCCUAGAUGGUUUUCCCCAGAAUUGACUCGAUUGUUAAAACGGCUGCUUGAAACGAAUCCAGAAAACCGGAUCACUAUUCCUGAAAUCAUGGAAAACAAGUGGUUCAAAAAGGGGUUUAGGCACAUUAAGUUCUAUUUCGAUGAUGAUAAGUUGUGCAGUGUGAAAGAUGGAGAGAUUGAAGAUGAUGGGAUUGAUUAUUCAUCUGAUCAGUCUUCAUAUUCCGAAUCAGAAAGUGAAACUGAGAAUCGGAGGAGGCUAGCGAGCUUACCUAGACCUGCAAGUUUGAAUGCUUUUGAUCUGAUUUCAUUCUCUCGUGGCUUUAGUUUAUCUGGGUUGUUUGAAGAUGGAAUGGAGGAAUCAAGAUUCGUUUCAGGGGCACCAGUUUCUAGCAUAAUUUCAAAGCUGGAGGAGAUUGCCAAAGUGGUUAGCUUUGCAGUGAGAAAGAAGGACUGCAAAGUUAGUUUGGAAGGGACAAGAGAGGGAGUAAAAGGUCCUUUAACAAUUGGAGCUGAGAUAUUCGAAUUAACACCUUCAUUAAGAGUGGUAGAAGUUAAAAAGAAAGCAGGGGACAAAGGGGAAUACGAUGACUUCUGUGCACGGGAAUUGAGACCCAGAUUGCAAGAACUUAUGCUAACCGAAUCAGGCGAACCUUCAAAUUUGCCUUCUGAUACAGAAUGAAAGAUGAACACAAGAGUCGAAAAGGGAACCGGCGUUCAAAAUCUAGGUCAUGUUAGCUUACAUCUCACCUCCGAGACCCUGCUUCAGAUUUACUGGGUCAGUUUGGAUUUUUACCAGGAAUAUGUGGUAAAGAUGGUCUUUGUGCUAGAAGUCAGGUCUGCAUACCUACUUUUGAGUAGGAUUUACCGGCAGUGUACUCGUGAAAUAGAGCGCGAUCCAAUCUCGAGAUUUUGAAGUUGAGAAUUCGAACCCACAAUCUUGUUUCAUGAUUGGUUAUGUUCUCCACCCCUCUCGAUUUUACUUAAAAGUUGUGUCCAGUUUUGAGAGAGCAGUGAGCCAUCAGUUGGUUAUCAUUUUUAUGGAGUAUAAUGAUGUAUUGGAAAGGCUUCAAUGUU